GUUUUGGGGAAAGGAUAAUGAAUUUCUUUUUGGACCCAUCAAGUCUAAGACUGUAUGAUUUCAUGAGUCUAUGUCAUUGCUCUAUGGGCUCUCAUCUUUUUCCUUUUUAAAACCAAGGUAAUCAUCGCUGCUCUACCUGCCUCACUGGGAUGUUGUAAGGAUCAGAGGAGAUUAUUUUUGCUUCAAGUCGUCAAUGGAGCUGUGAUCUCACAGAUAUCUUUUUGGGCACUCCCUUCAGACAUACCAUGAGGAAUAAGGGUGGCCACUCCUACUCCAAGUAUCAGAGAGAAGAACACUGCAAGUUUGGAGAAGUUACCCUAGGAACAGAGAAGAACCUCAACAGAUAUAUAAGGGGAAUGACCUCUGCACUGGAAAUGGAAAUUGUAUGCAUCUAUCUUGAGAAGAAAAGGACAUCUGGAUGCUGA
Monodelphis domestica (gray short-tailed opossum) is the source of this 425-nucleotide long non-coding RNA. The record is from Ensembl. NCBI's taxonomy places the organism in Eukaryota, Metazoa, Chordata, Mammalia, Didelphimorphia, Didelphidae.